RNAcentral lists this non-coding RNA (30 nucleotides) under Mus musculus (house mouse). The record is from RNAcentral. Lineage: Eukaryota; Metazoa; Chordata; Mammalia; Rodentia; Muridae.
AACCAAAUUAUACUCUUUUGAUUUCCAGAC